UCACCAUGCCUCUGUCAGCCAUGGGGAUCUCCUUAGCCCUCACAUACAUGUUUGUUUCCCCAGGGAGUCUGAUAAAUUCUAAGAAGCAAGCAACAGAAGUUCAAGUCUAUUUAGAGAUGCUAAAUUCGAUGGUACCCAUCUGUUUGCUGAGAAGCAGCAGGUUUCAUGGGCUAUUUACAGCCUGCGGGGAGGUCAUCAGGACAUCCACAGUGGGGAUGUUGGGUUUCUUCAUUUCACCUAUCAGUGACGCUGGAAAGAGGGUGAUGAUGAAAACAGCGAAUGAGGCAAGGCUGAUUUCCAACUGCAUCAGGAAGAAUGCCUUCCCUCUCCUGGAACACUGCUGAUGAAGCUGUGCAUUUGCUGCUUGUCACUAAAUCAAGGAAGGGCCAGAGCCAGCAGGACCCUUCACCUCUCCUUAGUAUCAUAGAAUGGCUUGGGCUGAAAGGGACCUCAAAGAUCGUCUGGUUCCAACCAGCCCCGGGGUCUGCAUCCUAUCAGCACACAUUUGGAAAUUACGGAGAAACAGCAUGAAUAUGAUGUCCUAUUCCACAGCUCUUUGAGCAGCAUAAUGGCAGCGUACAGGCCUCAGGGCAGAGACAUGGAGGGGUUGUAGAUUCCCCUGCUCUCCUCCUGCAAAAGUGUUCUGCACCUUUUCAGCAAGGUGCAAUUUAGGUGUAAAAUAUUUUGCCUCUCCCGUGAGCAAUAAUGCGAGAAGCAAACUGAUUUGGAAUUUGGCCCAGAGAAUUCAUUCAGUAAUAAAUAAUGGAUCACUUUUCA
RNAcentral lists this long non-coding RNA (777 nucleotides) under Coturnix japonica (Japanese quail). Its description in RNAcentral is "lncRNA (ENSCJPG00005010828.1)". Lineage: Eukaryota; Metazoa; Chordata; Aves; Galliformes; Phasianidae. The record is from RNAcentral.